Molecule: ribosomal RNA, 465 nt
Filed under: Vreelandella stevensii
Lineage: Bacteria; Pseudomonadati; Pseudomonadota; Gammaproteobacteria; Oceanospirillales; Halomonadaceae
Description: partial 16S ribosomal RNA
Rfam family: Bacterial small subunit ribosomal RNA
Source: RNAcentral
CCUACGGGGGGCUGCAGUGGGGAAUAUUGGACAAUGGGGGGAACCCUGAUCCAGCCAUGCCGCGUGUGUGAAGAAGGCCCUCGGGUUGUAAAGCACUUUCAGUGAGGAAGAACGCCUGGUGGUUAAUACCCAUCAGGAAAGACAUCACUCACAGAAGAAGCACCGGCUAACUCCGUGCCAGCAGCCGCGGUAAUACGGAGGGUGCGAGCGUUAAUCGGAAUUACUGGGCGUAAAGCGCGCGUAGGUGGCUUGAUAAGCCGGUUGUGAAAGCCCCGGGCUCAACCUGGGAACGGCAUCCGGAACUGUCAAGCUAGAGUGCAGGAGAGGAAGGUAGAAUUCCCGGUGUAGCGGUGAAAUGCGUAGAGAUCGGGAGGAAUACCAGUGGCGAAGGCGGCCUUCUGGACUGUAACUGACACUGAGGUGCGAAAGCGUGGGUAGCAAACAGGAUUAGAUACCCUUGUAGUC